GGAUCCCCUGCUAUAUGACCCUACUUGCCCAAUACUCCACUUCAUCAAGGUGAAGUGACCCACCAAGAGAGACUUUCAGGGUCUGGGCAUUACCAGAUAAAAGAUGCCUAUUUUAUUCUGGCUGAAAGCAUGAACAGAAUAAACAAUGAGCUCUGUGAAGAAUGUUCUAUGAACCCGAAUCAAACUCAAACUCCUGUGUCACUCCGGUACGCCUGAUCACUGGAUAUAACCACGUAUUGGUCCAAACUAGCUCCAGAUCCAGGAGUCCCACCCAUUAGAGGCUGCCUAGAUUGACAAAGGGAGGGCACAGCCUUCAGUGACACAGUACAUGGUUCUCCCACCAGUUGAAGUGACAUACCCUAUCAGUUUUCCCUUCGGUCUGAAUGCUGGUGUGACUGCGGACCUCGUGUUCCUCUUCAAGGCUGUGUAAGAGGCAUGGCUGGGGAGGCCUCAGGAACCUUACAAUCAUGGUGGAAGGUAAAGGGGAAGCAAGCACAUCUUCACAUGGAGCAGGAGAGACAGAGCCAAGGGGGAAGCGCUGCACACUUUUAAACAACCAGAUCUGGAACCUCCCUCUCUGUUACUACUCCCUUUGGAUUUAUCCAGUAGUCUUAGACGUCACCAGGGCCAAGCCAUGCAUAUAUAGAUUGAAAUGUUGUUUUCAAAACCUACUCAAGCUAUCUCUUGAUGAACAAGAUUAGUACCAUCUGAUUACAACCCUGAAGAGUCUAGAUUCCUUAUUCUGCAAAAUGGAUUUAUUGUAUCUCAAGGCACUGUGAAGUUUGCAGUAGCAUGUAUAGGCAAAAAGGAAAGUCCAAAGAGAGGAAAAGAAAGCAGGAGAGAUCUGAAAUGACACAAGAAGUGACUCAGAAUGGGAAGAUUGUGCACUCCUUGUUGUCCCCUAAUGCACAUGGAAGUAUGCAACAGAAGCUGUGAAAAUAACCCAGGUGCGAAGGCCAAUGGUUUUCAUACAUUUCAAGCUUCUCUCCGUGAUGUCCUUUUCCAUGUAAAAUCUAAAUCAGGUGUCCUAUAUACAUAACAUGAAAUGGAGAUGUAAUGCAACUGAAGCUAGGAAACAAAAAUCUUGCCUACUAGCCUUCUCUCAAACCAGUGAUCAGAACCCUGAGUUAUUUCUUUGAGAGACUAAGUACAACACAGAAGCUCAAGCAUAGAAAUUAAGAGUUAAAAUUAUGUCAAGUUUCUUCACUGAAAAAGAUCCCUAUUAGCCUUUGACCUAAUUUUGUUAAUUUAUAAUGGAAGUUAACAAUCACUAAAUGUUAUUGCUUAUAAAUCUCUUUACCUAAUUUAAAACACUGCUAGUUGUAGCUAGAAAUAGGUAUUUCUUUAUUUCUUUUAGCUAUGUAUUCCUUCAAAAGAAGCUCCAGACUUUUAAAAUUGCACCACCUCAGUAUUUCCUCAGUUUCUUUUUUUAAUACAACAUACAUACACACACACACACACUAUCUUAUAUAUACUAGCUUAAUAAAUCACAUGGUAUUUUAGAACAGAUCAAAACUUGGAAUAAUCAUGUGGGAAAAAAGUUGUAGCCAGGUGCAGUGGUUCAUGCCUGUAAUCUCAGCACUUUGGGAUGCCAAGGCAAGUGAAUUGCUUGAGGUGAAGAGUUCAAGAGCAGCCUGGGCAACAUGGUGAAACCCCUCUCUACAAAAAAUUAGCAAGGCAUGGUGGCACAUGCCUGUGGUCCCAACUACUUGUGAGGCUGAGUUGGAUAGAUCGCUUGAGCCCUGGAAAAAGAGGUUGCA
RNAcentral lists this long non-coding RNA (1760 nucleotides) under Homo sapiens (human). Its description in RNAcentral is "HSALNT0163766". The record is from RNAcentral. Lineage: Eukaryota; Metazoa; Chordata; Mammalia; Primates; Hominidae.